CAUGCUCAUUUGAUUUUCUUUUCUCUUCUUUCUUUUCUCGUGUAAUAAAAAUCCUUAAUCUGGACAAACAUUCUCGUCAUAAUGCUGUCGAACGUUGCUAACGUCGAUGUAUUUGCGGAAAACGCACUUUAGCGUAUCAAACCAUCGUACUUUAGCGUAGGCCGUCGCACUUUAGCGUGACCAUCGCAUUUUAGCGUCCCUAUCGCACUUUAGAGU
Molecule: long non-coding RNA, 216 nt
Filed under: Mytilus galloprovincialis (Mediterranean mussel)
Lineage: Eukaryota; Metazoa; Mollusca; Bivalvia; Mytilida; Mytilidae
Source: RNAcentral